This 423-nucleotide ribosomal RNA is filed under the name uncultured bacterium. Its description in RNAcentral is "bacterial SSU rRNA". It matches the Rfam family "Bacterial small subunit ribosomal RNA", at positions 917 to 1341 of the family's 1533-position model. The record is from RNAcentral.
GGGCCCGCACAAGCGGUGGAGCAUGUGGUUUAAUUCGAUGCAACGCGAAGAACCUUACCUGCCCUUGACAUCCUCGGAAGGGACCGGAAACGGACCUGUGCCUUCGGGAACCGAGAGACAGGUGCUGCAUGGCUGUCGUCAGCUCGUGUCGUGAGAUGUUGGGUUAAGUCCCGUAACGAGCGCAACCCACGUCUUUAGUUGCCAGCAUUUAGUUGGGCACUCUAGAGAGACCGCCGGUGAUAAACCGGAGGAAGGUGUGGAUGACGUCAAGUCAUCAUGGCCUUUAUGUCCAGGGCUGCACACGUGCUACAAUGGGACGUACAAAGGGAAGCGAACCCGCGAGGGCAAGCAAAUCUCAAAAAGCGUCUCUCAGUUCGGAUUGCAGGCUGCAACUCGCCUGCAUGAAGCUGGAAUCGCUAGUAA